AGAGCGAACGCUGGCGGCAUGCCUAAUACAUGCAAGUCGAACGAGACCUUCGGGUCUAGUGGCGCACGGGUGCGUAACGCGUGGGAAUCUACCCUUGGGUUCGGAAUAACAGUUGGAAACGACUGCUAAUACCGGAUGAUGACGAAAGUCCAAAGAUUUAUCGCCCAGGGAUGAGCCCGCGUAGGAUUAGCUAGUUGGUGAGGUAAAGGCUCACCAAGGCUACGAUCCUUAGCUGGUCUGAGAGGAUGAUCAGCCACACUGGGACUGAGACACGGCCCAGACUCCUACGGGAGCAGCAGUAGGGAAUAUU
RNAcentral lists this ribosomal RNA (310 nucleotides) under uncultured soil bacterium. Its description in RNAcentral is "bacterial SSU rRNA". It matches the Rfam family "Bacterial small subunit ribosomal RNA", at positions 26 to 365 of the family's 1533-position model. The record is from RNAcentral.